GGUGAAAAGCACCCCGGAAGGGGAGUGAAAGAGAUCCUGAAACCGUGUGCCUACAAAUAGUCAGAGCCCGUUAAUGGGUGAUGGCGUGCCUUUUGUAGAAUGAACCGGCGAGUUACGAUCCCGUGCGAGGUUAAGCUGAAGAGGCGGAGCCGCAGCGAAAGCGAGUCUGAAUAGGGCGUUUAGUACGUGGUCGUAGACCCGAAACCAGGUGAUCUACCCAUGUCCAGGGUGAAGUUCAGGUAACACUGAAUGGAGGCCCGAACCCACGCACGUUGAAAAGUGCGGGGAUGAGGUGUGGGUAGCGGAGAAAUUCCAAUCGAACCUGGAGAUAGCUGGUUCUCCCCGAAAUAGCUUUAGGGCUAGCCUUAAGUGUAAGAGUCUUGGAGGUAGAGCACUGAUUGGACUAGGGGUCCUCAUCGGAUUACCGAAUUCAGUCAAACUCCGAAUGCCAAUGACUUAUCCUUAGGAGUCAGACUGCGAGUGAUAAGAUCCGUAGUCAAAAGGGAAACAGCCCAGACCGCCAGCUAAGGUCCCAAAGUGUGUAUUAAGUGGAAAAGGAUGUGGAGUUGCUUAGACAACUAGGAUGUUGGCUUAGAAGCAGCCACCAUUUAAAGAGUGCGUAAUAGCUCACUAGUCGAGUGACUCUGCGCCGAAAAUGUACCGGGGCUAAAUACACCACCGAAGCUGCGGAUUGAUACCAAUGGUAUCAGUGGUAGGGGAGCGUUCUAAGGACAGUGAAGUCAGACCGGAAGGACUGGUGGAGUGCUUAGAAGUGAGAAUGCCGGUAUGAGUAGCGAAAGACGGGUGAGAAUCCCGUCCACCGAAUGCCUAAGGUUUCCUGAGGAAGGCUCGUCCGCUCAGGGUUAGUCAGGACCUAAGCCGAGGCCGACAGGCGUAGGCGAUGGACAACAGGUUGAUAUUCCUGUACCACCUCUUUAUCGUUUGAGCAAUGGAGGGACGCAGAAGGAUAGAAGAAGCGUGCGAUUGGUUGUGCACGUCCAAGCAGUUAGGCUGAUAAGUAGGCAAAUCCGCUUAUCGUAAAGGCUGAGCUGUGAUGGGGAAGCUCCUUAUGGAGCGAAGUCUUUGAUUCCCCGCUGCCAAGAAAAGCUUCUAGCGAGAUAAAAGGUGCCUGUACCGCAAACCGACACAGGUAGGCGAGGAGAGAAUCCUAAGGUGUGCGAGAGAACUCUGGUUAAGGAACUCGGCAAAAUGACCCCGUAACUUCGGGAGAAGGGGUGCUUUCUUAACGGAAAGCCGCAGUGAAUAGGCCCAAGCGACUGUUUAGCAAAAACACAGCUCUCUGCGAAGCCGUAAGGCGAAGUAUAGGGGGUGACACCUGCCCGGUGCUGGAAGGUUAAGGAGAGGGGUUAGCGUAAGCGAAGCUCUGAACUGAAGCCCCAGUAAACGGCGGCCGUAACUAUAACGGUCCUAAGGUAGCGAAAUUCCUUGUCGGGUAAGUUCCGACCCGCACGAAAGGUGUAACGAUUUGGGCACUGUCUCAACCAGAGACUCGGUGAAAUUAUAGUACCUGUGAAGAUGCAGGUUACCCGCGACAGGACGGAAAGACCCCGUGGAGCUUUACUGUAGCCUGAUAUUGAAUUUUGGUACAGUUUGUACAGGAUAGGCGGGAGCCAUUGAAACCGGAGCGCUAGCUUCGGUGGAGGCGCUGGUGGGAUACCGCCCUGACUGUAUUGAAAUUCUAACCUACGGGUCUUAUCGACCCGGGAGACAGUGUCAGGUGGGCAGUUUGACUGGGGCGGUCGCCUCCUAAAGUGUAACGGAGGCGCCCAAAGGUUCCCUCAGAAUGGUUGGAAAUCAUUCGUAGAGUGCAAAGGCAUAAGGGAGCUUGACUGCGAGACCUACAAGUCGAGCAGGGACGAAAGUCGGGCUUAGUGAUCCGGUGGUUCCGCAUGGAAGGGCCAUCGCUCAACGGAUAAAAGCUACCCCGGGGAUAACAGGCUUAUCUCCCCCAAGAGUCCACAUCGACGGGGAGGUUUGGCACCUCGAUGUCGGCUCAUCGCAUCCUGGGGCUGUAGUCGGUCCCAAGGGUUGGGCUGUUCGCCCAUUAAAGCGGUACGCGAGCUGGGUUCAGAACGUCGUGAGACAGUUCGGUCCCUAUCCGUCGUGGGCGUAGGAAAUUUGAGAGGAGCUGUCCUUAGUACGAGAGGACCGGGAUGGACGCACCGCUGGUGUACCAGUUGUUCUGCCAAGGGCAUAGCUGGGUAGCUAUGUGCGGAAGGGAUAAGUGCUGAAAGCAUCUAAGCAUGAAGCCCCCCUCAAGAUGAGAUUUCCCAUAGCGUAAGCUAGUAAGAUCCCUGAAAGAUGAUCAGGUUGAUAGGUUCGAGGUGGAAGCAUGGUGACAUGUGGAGCUGACGAAUACUAAUAGAUCGAGGACUUAACCAU
This 2403-nucleotide ribosomal RNA is filed under the name Streptococcus pneumoniae. RNAcentral describes it as "bacterial LSU rRNA". It matches the Rfam family "Bacterial large subunit ribosomal RNA", at positions 513 to 2925 of the family's 2925-position model. Lineage: Bacteria; Bacillati; Bacillota; Bacilli; Lactobacillales; Streptococcaceae. The record is from RNAcentral.